UACGUAGGUGGCAAGCGUUAUCCGGAAUUACUGGGCGUAAAGAGUCGCGUAGGUGGAAAGCCGCGUCGGUUUUGAAAGAGUGGGGCUCAACUCCAUUUUUGGAACUGAUACGGGUUUUCUAGAGGAAAACAGGGGCAAGCGGAACUUUCAGUGGAGCAGUGAAAUGCGUUGAUAUUGAAAGGAACACCAAAGGCGAAGGCAGCUUGCUGGGUUUUAUCUGACACUUAGGCACGAAAGCGUAGGGAGCGAACCGG
RNAcentral lists this ribosomal RNA (254 nucleotides) under uncultured bacterium. Its description in RNAcentral is "partial 16S ribosomal RNA". It matches the Rfam family "Bacterial small subunit ribosomal RNA", at positions 524 to 776 of the family's 1533-position model. The record is from RNAcentral.